RNAcentral lists this signal recognition particle RNA (160 nucleotides) under Triticum dicoccoides. RNAcentral's name for it is "SRP RNA Plant_SRP". It matches the Rfam family "Plant signal recognition particle RNA", at positions 93 to 252 of the family's 305-position model. The record is from RNAcentral. Lineage: Eukaryota; Viridiplantae; Streptophyta; Magnoliopsida; Poales; Poaceae.
AAGAUGGUGGCCCGCCCGUUCCAAGUUGGUAGUGGAUCCGCUGGGGCCUGUGCGAAAGCUAGGCGUCACGGGCUAUAAUGUGGCAGGCAUUGCGUGAGGCUGGUUUCACAGAGCAGCGAAAACUGCCCGCUUCCAACGGUGGGAGGAUAACGGGCCGCUG